This 1248-nucleotide long non-coding RNA is filed under the name Cyanistes caeruleus (blue tit). Its description in RNAcentral is "lncRNA (ENSCCEG00000011725.1)". The record is from RNAcentral. Lineage: Eukaryota; Metazoa; Chordata; Aves; Passeriformes; Paridae.
AUGGCUGGUUUUGGGCUUUCUCUUACGGAGGGCCUGGUUAUGGAAAUACGGCAUGCAGUGUCUGAUCAGAGAGGGACUGAUGUGUCGUAUGCUGACUUUCAGCGAUUGUGUGAGUAUGGCAGAAUUGAGGGGUUCUUCCCUGUGGUUGAAGCGAUUUUUUCGCAGUUGGCUUGGGAUGCUUUAGGCAAUUCCCUGAUCGAGGCUCUGCUGGUCAGUUAUAAGCCCCGGGUGCUCCAGUUGCUGGGGAUCUGGCGAAGGUGCUUUCUGAGGUCAGGUCCCGAGGUCGGCUCCCCCAGGAUCGCCGGGGCCCCCGGCAGGUUGAACGGGGCCACCGCGGGACCGGUGGGCGUGACCCCGCCUCGGCCGGCGCCCCAGCGGUGGAAGCCCGAGGCGGGCUCUCCUCCUCCGUGUGCCCUCCCGGCACAGACCGAUGGGGGGGUGCUUAAACAGAGGGCCGUGCCAGCUCUGGGGGAUGCCUCAGGGUCUGUUCUAUGUCCCUGCUGCGGCUGGGCCGUGCCCUGCCCCGCGGGGGGGGAUGGGCAGGGCCCGGGCUCUGCGCCGGCAGCCGUGCACGCUGCUCCAGUGCAGGAGCAGCCGGCGCCGCUUCUUGGACCUUUCACCCCUGAAGAAAUGCUGCUAGGGGCGGUUCCGAGCGCUGCCCUCCCCGCGUCGGGAGCGGGCUGUGCCGAGCUGCCUCUAACCGCCCCCGCCUCGGGUUCCCAGGCAUCACCCGAGCCUGCGGCUGGAGCUGGCCCUCCCCCAUCGCCUCCUGUGGCUGUGGCAGACCAAGGUCCUGAGCUGUUUACCACUGGCUCGGUUGGUGCUGCCGCGGGGGCGAAGCUGGUGGCCUCCACAGAAAAAGGGUCCAAGGCUGCUGGAGCCUCUUCGGCUGGCCUGUGGACUUUGUCCUCCUAUAAGAUGUCUCUGCAGCUGAGCGUAUCAGGCAUUCCAUGUGCUUCCGAAUGCUUUUAUCCGGUGCGUGAGGGCAUGAGUACUCUUCUUGUGGCGUGGUUGAAUACCACUGCUCAGGGCAUCAUUGCUCACCUAGGGGACGUUGAUUCGGAAUUCCUGGGGUGCAUUUCUGCCAUGAGUUCCACACACACCCCUCCUGUUCCUAUCCCUGCGGGAUCCGGCUUUGCUCACCUUGUGCCUUUUGAGUUUUAUGUUCGCAGAGCUGAGAUCCAGCUGCGAGGAGAUGGUGGCUUCGGGUUCCCUGGACCUUCCUGGUUUCACGGACUGCUGUUCUGA